UCUGCUCAAUGUUAUUUUAAUAAAUAGCUGCAUUCUUGUACUAAGGUAGCAUAAUAAUUUGCCUUUUAAUUGAAGGAUAGUAUGAAUGAAAAUUCAAGAAAAUAGCUGUCUCUAUAUAAUAAAUAUAAAUUAAUCUAUAAGUGAAAAAGCUUAUAUAAAAUAAAAAGACAAGAAGACCCUGUUGAGCUUUUUCUAAAAAUUAAUUAUUAGAUUUUGUUGGGGCAACAUAAAUUAUUAAAAUCAAUUUAUUUUAAAAAGAAUAAAUUCAAAUAUAUAAUCUUAUUUUAUAAAAUAAUACAAAGUUACCACAGGGAUAACAGGCUAAUUUUUUUUAAGAGUUCAAAUUAAUAAAAAAGUUUGGCACCUCGAUGUUGGCUUAAGAUUCCUUUUAAAUGCAGUAAUUUAAAAUGUUGGUUU
Molecule: ribosomal RNA, 417 nt
Filed under: Myzostoma testudo
Lineage: Eukaryota; Metazoa; Annelida; Myzostomida; Myzostomatidae
Description: partial 16S ribosomal RNA
Rfam family: Bacterial large subunit ribosomal RNA (bases 313-417)
Source: RNAcentral